RNAcentral lists this ribosomal RNA (2888 nucleotides) under Helicobacter felis. RNAcentral describes it as "bacterial LSU rRNA". It matches the Rfam family "Bacterial large subunit ribosomal RNA". Lineage: Bacteria; Pseudomonadati; Campylobacterota; Epsilonproteobacteria; Campylobacterales; Helicobacteraceae. The record is from RNAcentral.
ACAAGAUAUUUAAGAGUAGAUGGUGGAUGCCUUGGGUAGUAGAGGCGAUGAAGGACGUACUAGACUGCGAUAAGCUGCGUGGAGCUGUCAAGAAGCUUUGAGGCGCAGAUGUCCGAAUGGGGCAACCCAACUUACAGCAAUGUAAGUUACUCUAUUUAAGAGAGCGAACCUAGCGAAGUGAAACAUCUCAGUAGCUAGAGGAAAAGAAAUCAACGAGAUUCCCUGAGUAGUGGCGAGCGAAAGGGGAAGAGGGCAAACCGGGUGCUUGCACUCGGGGUUGAGGACGACAACAUUCAAGGGGUUUAUCUAGCAGAGUUACCUGGAAAGGUAAGCCAUAGAAGGUGAUAGCCCUGUAUGCGAAAGAUACACCCUAGAUAGUCGUAUCCAGAGUAGGCCAGGACACGUGAAAUCCGGGCUGAAGCCGGGGAGACCACUCUCCAACCCUAAAUACUACUACUACACCGAUAGCGCACAAGUACCGUGAGGGAAAGGUGAAAAGAACCGUGGGUAACGGAGUGAAAUAGAACCUGAAACCAUCUACUUACAAUCAUUCAGAGCCCUAUGAUUUAUCAGGGUGAUGGACUGCCUUUUGCAUAAUGAUCCUGCGAGUUGUGGUGUCUGGCAAGGUUAAGUGAAAACGAGCCGUAGCGAAAGCGAGUCUGAAUAGGGCGCUUUAGUCAGACGCUGCAGACCCGAAGCCAAGUGAUCUAUCCAUGGCCAAGUUGAAACGAGUGUAACAGCUUGUGGAGGACUGAACCCGUGCCCAUUGAAACGGGCUGGGAUGAGCUGUGGAUAGGGGUGAAAGGCCAAACAAACUUGGUGAUAGCUGGUUCUCUUCGAAAUAUAUUUAGGUAUAGCCUCAAGUCAUAACAAGAGGGGGUAGAGCUCUGAUUGGGCUAGGGCUGCUCGCCGCAGUACCAAACCCUGUCAAACUGCGAAUACCUUUUGUUGUAUCUUGGGAGUCAGGCGGUGGGUGAUAAAAUCAAUCGUCAAGAGGGAAACAACCCAGACUACCAACUAAGGUCCCCAAGUUCUAUUCUGAGUGGAAAAAGAUGUGUGGUUACUCAAACAACCAGGAGGUUGGCUUAGAAGCAGCCAUCCUUUAAAGAAAGCGUAACAGCUCACUGGUCUAGUGAUCAUGCGCUGAAAAUAUAACGGGGCUAAGAUAGACACCGAAGUUGUAGAUUGCUCUUUUAGAGCAGUGGUAGAAGAGCGUUCUGUGCAGCGUUGAAGGCAUACCGGUAAGGAGUGUUGGAGCGCACAGAAGUGAGCAUGCAGGAAUGAGUAGCGAUAAGAUACGUAAGAAUCGUAUCCGCCGUAAAUCUAAGGUUUCCUACGCGAUGUUCGUCAUCGUAGGGUUAGUCGGGUCCUAAGCCAAGUCCGAAAGGGGUAGGCGAUGGGAAAUAGGUUAAUAUUCCUAUACCAAUUAGGGUGUGCGAUGGGAGGACGCAUAAAGUUAGGUGAGCUAGCUGAUGGAAGUGCUAGUCGAAGGGUGUAGAUUGGGAGAGAGGCAAAUCCGCUCCUGUAUUUGAAACCUGACAGGCUCUCUAAGACCUUCGGGUCAAGGAGAGAAUCACUGAUACUAUCGUGCCAAGAAAAGUCUCUAAGUUUAGCCCUAAUUGUCCGUACCGCAAACCGACACAGGUAGAUGAGAUGAGUAUUCUAAGGCGCGUGGAAGAACUCUCUUUAAGGAACUCUGCAAACUAGCACCGUAAGUUCGCGAUAAGGUGUGCCUACGCAAGUAGGUCUCAGCAAAGAGUCCCUCCCGACUGUUUACCAAAAACACAGCACUUUGCCAACUCGUAAGAGGAAGUAUAAGGUGUGACGCCUGCCCGGUGCUCGAAGGUUAAGAGGAUGGGUUAGCUCGCAAGAGCGAAGCUUUGAAUUGAAGCCCGAGUAAACGGCGGCCGUAACUAUAACGGUCCUAAGGUAGCGAAAUUCCUUGUCGGUUAAAUACCGACCUGCAUGAAUGGCGUAACGAGAUGGGAGCUGUCUCAAAGAGAGAUCCAGUGAAAUUGUAGUGGAGGUGAAAAUUCCUCCUACCCGCAGCAAGACGGAAAGACCCCGUGGACCUUUACUACAGCUUAGCACUGCUAAUGGGAAUGCCAUGCGCAGGAUAGGUGGGAGGCUGUGAAGCAAGAGCUUUGGCUCUUGUGGAGCCAUCCUUGAGAUACCACCCUUGGCGUUUUUGUUAGCUAACUGGCUAGAGUUAUCCUCUAGCAGGACAAUGCUUGGUGGGUAGUUUGACUGGGGCGGUCGCCUCCUAAAAAGUAACGGAGGCUUACAAAGGUUAGCUCAUGGCGGUUGGAAAUCGCCAGUUGAGUGUAAUGGCACAAGCUAGCUUAACUGCAAGAGAGACAACUCAAGCAGAGACGAAAGUCGGUCAUAGUGAUCCGGUGGUUCUCGUGUGGGAGAGCCAUCGCUCAAAGGAUAAAAGGUACCCCGGGGAUAACAGGCUGAUCUCCCCCAAGAGCUCACAUCGACGGGGAGGUUUGGCACCUCGAUGUCGGCUCAUCGCAUCCUGGGGCUGGAGCAGGUCCCAAGGGUAUGGCUGUUCGCCAUUUAAAGCGGUACGCGAGCUGGGUUCAGAACGUCGUGAGACAGUUCGGUCCCUAUCUGCUGUGGGCGUAGGAAAGCUGAGGAGAGCUGUCCCUAGUACGAGAGGACCGGGAUGGACAUGCCACUGGUGCACCAGUUGUUCUGCCAAGAGCACCGCUGGGUAGCUACGCAUGGUUGUGAUAAGAGCUGAAAGCAUCUAAGCUCGAAGCCAACUCCAAGAUGAGCUUUCCCUGAAGCUCGCAUGAAGACUACAUGUUUGAUAGGGUGGGUGUGUAAGUGCAGUAAUGCACUCAGCUAACCACUACUAAUAGAGCGUUUGGCUUGUUUGG